CCAAUAGCGUAUAUUAAAGUUGUUGCAGUUAAAAAGCUCGUAGUUGAACUUCGGGGUUCACCCAUUGGUCAGGCUUAAUUGUCUGCACUGGUGAGAUGAAUCUCUACCUUCUGAGGAACUUUCAUGCCAUUUAUUUGGUGUGAUGGGAAAUCAGGACUGUUACUUUGAAAAAAUUAGAGUGUUUAAAGCAGGCUAACGUCUGAAUACAUUAGCAUGGAAUAAUGAAAUAGGACGGACUGAUUCUAUUUCGUUGGUUUCUAGGAUCACCGUAAUGAUUAAUAGGGAUAGUUGGGGGGCAUUAGUAUUCAAUUGUCAGAGGUGAAAUUCUUGGAUUUAUUGAAGACUAACUACUGCGAAAGCAUUUGCCAAGGAUGUUUUCAUUAAUCAAGAACGAAAGUUAGGGGAUCGAAGACGAUCAGAUACCGUCGUAGUCUUAACCAUAAACUAUGCCGACUAGGGAUCGGACGAAGUUAAUUUUAUAAUGACGCGUUCGGCACCUUACG
RNAcentral lists this ribosomal RNA (503 nucleotides) under uncultured Glomeromycotina. RNAcentral's name for it is "partial small subunit ribosomal RNA". It matches the Rfam family "Eukaryotic small subunit ribosomal RNA", at positions 591 to 1092 of the family's 1831-position model. Lineage: Eukaryota; Fungi; Glomeromycota. The record is from RNAcentral.